CCCUUAGACGUUCUGGGCCGCACGCGCGCUACACUGACGGAGUCAGCGAGUAUAAACCUUGGCCGAGAGGUCUGGGAAAUCUUGUGAAACUCCGUCGUGCUGGGGAUAGAGCAUUGUAAUUAUUGCUCUUCAACGAGGAAUUCCUAGUAAGCGCAAGUCAUCAGCUUGCGUUGAUUACGUCCCUGCCCUUUGUACACACCGCCCGUCGCUACUACCGAUUGAAUGGCUUAGUGAGGCUUCCGGAUUGGUUUAGAGAAGGGGGCAACUCCAUCUUGGAACCGAGAAGCUAGUCAAACUUGGUCAUUUAGAGGAAGUAAAAGUCGUAACA
This 328-nucleotide ribosomal RNA is filed under the name uncultured eukaryote. RNAcentral describes it as "partial 18S ribosomal RNA". It matches the Rfam family "Eukaryotic small subunit ribosomal RNA", at positions 1470 to 1796 of the family's 1831-position model. The record is from RNAcentral.